UGGGGAAUAUUGCACAAUGGGCGCAAGCCUGAUGCAGCCAUGCCGCGUGUAUGAAGAAGGCCUUCGGGUUGUAAAGUACUUUCAGCGGGGAGGAAGGGAGUAAAGUUAAUACCUUUGCUCAUUGACGUUACCCGCAGAAGAAGCACCGGCUAACUCCGUGCCAGCAGCCGCGGUAAUACGGAGGGUGCAAGCGUUAAUCGGAAUUACUGGGCGUAAAGCGCACGCAGGCGGUUUGUUAAGUCAGAUGUGAAAUCCCCGGGCUCAACCUGGGAACUGCAUCUGAUACUGGCAAGCUUGAGUCUCGUAGAGGGGGGUAGAAUUCCAGGUGUAGCGGUGCAAUGCGUAGAGAUCUGGAGGAAUACCGGUGGCGAAGGCGGCCCCCUGGACGAAGACUGACGCUCAGGUGCGAAAGCGUGGGGAGCAAACAGG
This 429-nucleotide ribosomal RNA is filed under the name Chloroflexota bacterium. RNAcentral's name for it is "Chloroflexi bacterium partial 16S ribosomal RNA". It matches the Rfam family "Bacterial small subunit ribosomal RNA", at positions 355 to 776 of the family's 1533-position model. Lineage: Bacteria; Bacillati; Chloroflexota. The record is from RNAcentral.